CCCUUAGAUGUUCUGGGCCGCACGCGCGCUACACUGAUGAAUUCAACGAGUAUAUAACCUUGACCGACAGGUCUGGGUAAUCUUUUGAAAUUUCAUCGUGAUGGGGCUAGAUUAUUGCAAUUAUUAAUCUUUAACGAGGAAUUCCUAGUAAGCGCAAUUCAUCAGAUUGAGUUGAUUACGUCCCUGCCCUUUGUACACACCGCCCGUCGCUCCUACCGAUUGGAUGAUCCGGUGAAAUCUUCGGACCGCGACAAAGCAGUAUUUCGCGUACCGCAUUGUUGUGGAAAGUUGCUUAAACCUUAUCAUCUAGAGGAAGGAGAAGUCGUAACA
RNAcentral lists this ribosomal RNA (330 nucleotides) under uncultured eukaryote. RNAcentral describes it as "partial 18S ribosomal RNA". It matches the Rfam family "Eukaryotic small subunit ribosomal RNA", at positions 1470 to 1796 of the family's 1831-position model. The record is from RNAcentral.